CCUACAGGCGGCAGCAGUGGGGAAUAUUGGACAAUGGGGGGAACCCUGAUCCAGCCAUGCCGCGUGUGUGAAGAAGGCCCUCGGGUUGUAAAGCACUUUCAGUGAGGAAGAACGCCUGGUGGUUAAUACCCAUCAGGAAAGACAUCACUCACAGAAGAAGCACCGGCUAACUCCGUGCCAGCAGCCGCGGUAAUACGGAGGGUGCGAGCGUUAAUCGGAAUUACUGGGCGUAAAGCGCGCGUAGGUGGCUUGAUAAGCCGGUUGUGAAAGCCCCGGGCUCAACCUGGGAACGGCAUCCGGAACUGUCAAGCUAGAGUGCAGGAGAGGAAGGUAGAAUUCCCGGUGUAGCGGUGAAAUGCGUAGAGAUCGGGAGGAAUACCAGUGGCGAAGGCGGCCUUCUGGACUGACACUGACACUGAGGUGCGAAAGCGUGGGUAGCAAACAGGAUUAGAUACCCCAGUAGUC
This 465-nucleotide ribosomal RNA is filed under the name Vreelandella stevensii. RNAcentral's name for it is "partial 16S ribosomal RNA". It matches the Rfam family "Bacterial small subunit ribosomal RNA", at positions 338 to 795 of the family's 1533-position model. Lineage: Bacteria; Pseudomonadati; Pseudomonadota; Gammaproteobacteria; Oceanospirillales; Halomonadaceae. The record is from RNAcentral.